CAGUAGCCACGGUAAUACGUAGGUCCCGAGCGUUGUCCGGAUUUAUUGGGCGUAAAGCGAGCGCGGGCGGUUAGAAAAGUCUGAAGUGAAAGGCAGUGGCUCAACCAAUGUAUGCUUUGGAAACUGUUAGACUUGAGUGCAGAAGGGGAGAGUGGAAUUCCAUGUGUAGCGGUGAAAUGCGUAGAUAUAUGGAGGAACACCGGUGGCGAAAGCGGCUCUCUGGUCUGUCACUGACGCUGAGGCUCGAAAGCGUGGGUAGCGAGCAGGAUUAGAUACCCCCGUAGUCCCUGUCUCUUAUACC
Molecule: ribosomal RNA, 301 nt
Filed under: uncultured bacterium
Lineage: Bacteria
Description: partial 16S ribosomal RNA
Rfam family: Bacterial small subunit ribosomal RNA
Source: RNAcentral